CCUACGGGAGGCAGCAGUAAGGAAUAUUGGUCAAUGGACGCAAGUCUGAACCAGCCAUGCCGCGUGAAGGAUGAAUGCCCUCUGGGUUGUAAACUUCUUUUAUAGGGGACGAAAAAGGGUCUUUUUAGAUCAACUGACGGUACCCUAGGAAUAAGCACCGGCUAACUCCGUGCCAGCAGCCGCGGUAAUACGGAGGGUGCAAGCGUUAUCCGGAUUUACUGGGUUUAAAGGGUGCGUAGGUGGGUUGGUAAGUCAGCGGUGAAAUCUUCGAGCUUAACUCGGAAACUGCCAUUGAUACUAUCAGCCUUGAAUAUCCUGGAGGUGAGCGGAAUAUGUCAUGUAGCGGUGAAAUGCUUAGAUAUGACAUAGAACACCAAUUGCGAAGGCAGCUCACUACGGGAUUAUUGACACUGAGGCACGAAAGCGUGGGGAUCAAACAGGAUUAGAUACCCUGGUAGUCCACGCCCUAAACGAUGGAUACUCGACAUUUGCGAUAUACAGGUAAUGUNUGAGAGAAGANAUAAUAUACCACCACGAGAGAGNGCGAGUAGUAGAGUAAGUAAGUAGUAGCGUGAGAGAGACGACGACGACGACGAGGGAGGAGG
RNAcentral lists this ribosomal RNA (605 nucleotides) under uncultured bacterium. Its description in RNAcentral is "bacterial SSU rRNA". The stretch from base 1 to 533 matches the Rfam family "Bacterial small subunit ribosomal RNA", at positions 338 to 873 of the family's 1533-position model. The record is from RNAcentral.